RNAcentral lists this ribosomal RNA (117 nucleotides) under Candidatus Obscuribacterales bacterium. RNAcentral also lists the same sequence under 2 other names. Lineage: Bacteria; Bacillati; Candidatus Melainabacteria; Candidatus Obscuribacterales. The record is from RNAcentral.
CCUGGUGUCUAUGGUACGGUGGACCCACCCUGACCCAUCCCGAACUCAGGUGUGAAACGCUGAAACGGCGACGAUAGUUGGAGGGUUGCUUCCUGCAACAAUAGCUCGAUGCCAGGG